CGCAUCUGUGCAUGCAGCAUAUCAAUAGCGGAGGAAAAGAAACUAACAAGGAUUCCCCUAGUAACGGCGAGUGAAGCGGGAAGAGCUCAAAUUUGAAAUCUUAAAGGGUUUCCCUUUACGAAUUGUAGUUUAAAGAAGUGUUUUCUGUUGAGGUUUUGGUAAAAGUUCUUUGGAAUAGGACAUCAUAGAGGGUGAGAAUCCCGUAUUUGACCUUUACUUUCAACUUUGUGAUACACUUUCAAAGAGUCGGAUUGUUUGGGAAUGCAGUCCAAAAUGGGUGGUAAAUUUCAUCUAAAGCUAAAUAUUGGCGAGAGACCGAUAGCGAACAAGUACCGUGAGGGAAAGAUGAAAAGAACUUUGAAAAGAGAGUUAAACAGUACGUGAAAUUGUCAAAAGGGAAGCGUUUGACACCAGUGUUGUUUUUCUGAAAAUCAAUUAAAGAACUGUUUAUGCUAAGCUUGUUUAGACUUUAUCAGCUAUACUGUUUAGUUUUGAGCUUUUCUUUAAUGCACUUUUCAGUUAACAAGUCAACAUCAAUUUCUUUUGCUGUAAAAAAGCUUGAGGAAGGUGGCUUGAGAUUCGUCUUAAGUGUUUAUAGCCUCUUGCCUAUGCAGUCGGAGAGAUUGAGGUCUGCAGCGUAGAUCCUUCGGGGCUAAAUGCAUUUGUGCUAAGUUAUAGCAUUUUAUAGACAACUUGUUGACUAUGAUUUGUCUUGUAGCUUACUCGCUUAUGUUAUUUUACCUACGCUUAGGAUGUUGAACGCGCACAGAGUCUC
Molecule: ribosomal RNA, 775 nt
Filed under: uncultured Neocallimastigales
Lineage: Eukaryota; Fungi; Neocallimastigomycota; Neocallimastigomycetes; Neocallimastigales
Description: partial large subunit ribosomal RNA
Rfam family: Eukaryotic large subunit ribosomal RNA
Source: RNAcentral